GGGGAUGUAUUGUUUUGAUGGAAGUUCUUAAAUUCAAAAUCAGCAGGAUGAGAUUGGCUGUUGCUCAUAAACUAAUAGCCAAGCACUCUAAGUGCAGACAAAAUUUCAAGCAAGGUCAAAUCCGCUUUCAGCGGUUUGGCUUUCGCUCCUGCCGUUGCUUAAUACCAAUGGCCAUCGCCUUACUUGUUUUCCAGGUAAGUAUUAAGCGGUGUUAUAUUUCUGGAAUCGAUGGGUUGGUCUAUUCGAGCCGACCCAUUUAAAUCAUUUCGAAUAAAGCUGAAAUCAUUUUGUUCUUUUAAAAGGUUUCGGCUAAAGCUAAAAGAACUAAUUCUGUACACUGAUUUUCAAUUUGCUUCCAGACAGGAGCUCAUUACUCCUCAUCUCCACCA
RNAcentral lists this transfer-messenger RNA (389 nucleotides) under Patescibacteria group. RNAcentral describes it as "2-01-FULL-39-33 sp001817505 Standard tmRNA". It matches the Rfam family "transfer-messenger RNA". Rfam says of the family: Bacterial tmRNA, also known as 10Sa RNA or SsrA, is named for its dual tRNA and mRNA-like properties. Its role is to liberate the mRNA from a stalled ribosome. To accomplish this part of the tmRNA is used as a reading frame that ends in a translation stop signal. The record is from RNAcentral. RNAcentral also lists the same sequence under 3 other names.